GACGAACGCUGGCGGCGUGCUUAACACAUGCAAGUCGAGCGGUAAGGCCCUUUCGGGGGUACACGAGCGGCGAACGGGUGAGUAACACGUGGGUGACCUGCCCUCAGCUCUGGGAUAAGCCUGGGAAACUGGGUCUAAUACUGGAUAUGACUCCACGGUGCAUGUCGUGGGGUGGAAAGCCUUGUGCGGCUGAGGAUGGGGCCCGCGGCCUAUCAGCUUGUUGGGGGGUGAUGGCCUACCAAGGCGACGACGGGUAGCCGGCCUGAGAGGGCGACCGGCCACGCUGGGACUGAGACACGGCCCAGACUCCUACGGGAGGCAGCAGUGGGGAAUCUUGCGCAAUGGGCGAAAGCCUGACGCAGCGACGCCGCGUGAGGGAUGACGG
RNAcentral lists this ribosomal RNA (385 nucleotides) under uncultured bacterium. RNAcentral describes it as "bacterial SSU rRNA". It matches the Rfam family "Bacterial small subunit ribosomal RNA", at positions 28 to 414 of the family's 1533-position model. The record is from RNAcentral.